GAUGAACGCUAGCGGGAGGCCUAACACAUGCAAGCCGAGCGGUAUUUGUCCUUCGGGACAGAGAGAGCGGCGUACGGGUGCGGAACACGUGUGCAACCUGCCUUUAUCUGGGGGAUAGCCUUUCGAAAGGAAGAUUAAUACCCCAUAAUAUAUCGAAUGGCAUCAUUCGAUAUUGAAAACUCCGGUGGAUAGAGAUGGGAACGCGCAAGAUUAGAUAGUUGGUGAGGUAACGGCUCACCAAGUCAGUGAUCUUUAGGGGGCCUGAGAGGGUGAUCCCCCACACUGGUACUGAGACACGGACCAGACUCCUACGGGAGGCAGCAGUGAGGAAUAUUGGACAAUGGGUGAGAGCCUGAUCCAGCCAUCCCGCGUGAAGGACUAAGGCCCUAUGGGUUGUAAACUUCUUUUAUACUGGGAUAAACCUACUUACGUGUAAGUAGCUGAAGGUACAGUAUGAAUAAGCACCGGCUAACUCCGUG
This 479-nucleotide ribosomal RNA is filed under the name uncultured bacterium. RNAcentral describes it as "partial 16S ribosomal RNA". It matches the Rfam family "Bacterial small subunit ribosomal RNA", at positions 28 to 507 of the family's 1533-position model. The record is from RNAcentral.